RNAcentral lists this ribosomal RNA (142 nucleotides) under Gammaproteobacteria bacterium. RNAcentral's name for it is "partial 23S ribosomal RNA". It matches the Rfam family "Bacterial large subunit ribosomal RNA", at positions 1 to 134 of the family's 2925-position model. The record is from RNAcentral. Lineage: Bacteria; Pseudomonadati; Pseudomonadota; Gammaproteobacteria.
GUUAUGCGGUCAAGCGACGAAGCGUGUGUGGUGGAUGCCUUGGCAGCCAGAGGCGAUGAAGGACGUUGUAGACUGCGAUAAGCUUCGGGGAGCCGUCAAACAGGCUUUGAUCCGGAGAUUUCCGAAUGGGGAAACCCGGCCC